Molecule: long non-coding RNA, 3239 nt
Organism: Struthio camelus australis
Lineage: Eukaryota; Metazoa; Chordata; Aves; Struthioniformes; Struthionidae
Source: Ensembl
UAGCAGUUAUUUUUUCAUGUGGAGCACACACUCUGAGAAAUUCCCAUGUAUAUCUACCCCCCACAAAUCAUCGCUUUAGUUCUGACACAACAUACUAUAGAAAUACACCACAUACAAUAUAUAGUGAGAGAGUGCAGUCCUGCAACUGGUUUUAGGAUAAAGAGAAGAACAGCAACACCAAAACAGCUCUUUGAAAAAUCUUGUAAAGCAAAACCAGAUUGAAAAGUAUCAGUGAUAAGACCAAUGGGACUCUAGUUAAUGCUGUCAAAACUAACAAAUUAUCAGCAAAUAACAAAGUACUGUUCCCUGCACACCAAAAAAAAAUCAAAACAACAACAGAUUUUGUUAGCUUUUCUCAUGUUAUCUAUAUAAAAUGCUACUCAGCCUCUUAAUGGAAGUCAGAUUUGACCCCAAGUUUGCUCUGUUCCAGACAGUAAUAUCUUAUGUUGGUGUGACAUGUUUGGGUAUUUUUCACUGAAUAUUCACGGUCACUUCUUUCUACCUUCACGUUAAAGGUUUGAUGGUCAAAUGCAAUGUUCUAUAAAAAGAUAUUGUAGAGUUUGUGACUGCAUUUGCACUUACUCAUCCCACAGUUGACAAUGAAAUGCAUUUGUUCAAGGUUCAACAGUCACCAGCAUUGUUCAUUUAUUGUCUGUUUUCAGACCUGGUCAUGCUGUACCACAGCAAAUGCAGGAAUGCCUGUUUUACAUUUCCUGGGAGACUGCAUAUUUUUCACACACCUAUACACACUGUCAAGCACCCAAACUCUGCUGGAAUUUUCUUUAACAUCAGUGGGUUUGUCUUUGUUUCCCUGUUUUGUAACAGCUCAGAAAAAAAUAGGAGCACAACAGUAUAAAAUGUGUAUAUGUAAGUGUGCAUAUCUUGCCAUACUUACAAAGCAAACUCCCAAAAGUAGUCAAAAGGAAAUGAAGGCACAAGGCUAUCUUUGAGUCAAUUUAUGACUGAUUUUCUUCGGUGUUAGCAUAUACUAAGCCCCAGACACUUGUGAGAGCAGCUCAGUGACGCCGUGGGGAGCAAAGCUCACCACUGACUAUCGGCAAAACUUACCUGGAGGCCGGGGCAGUGUGAAUACUGGUAAUGGGAAGCCCACAGUGAAACUGGUAAGUCUGACCAAAUGCUCAGCUGAGGAUGAAAACAGAAACUGGGUACAGUUUUCUACUGUGAAUUAGCUCAUUAGUUAAAAUGCCAUAAUGCAGUGACUCUGGCCCGAGAGGGGUUAACCCUCUUUAAGGUAUUGAUUUUGCCCAAAGCUUUCCUAACGGUUUCACAGGUAAUAUGUAAUUUUCAGUUCACUGGGCUGAACAGGAGAGGAAUAUAAAACAUCAAAGACUUUCUCCUUUUGGAUCCGCAUUUAAACUAUCCCAAGUUUCAGUACUGCUUCGCCCCCCUGUACUUGUUCCCCAGCCACUCAAGAAAAGGGGUAACAGAAGCCCUUUGGCUGGUGACUUUUCAGAGAGUUUUUGUGACCUCUUCUAGCUUCUAGUAUAUAUGUCAUCAAAAGGUAGGCUGCUGACAGAUCAUGUGUAGGGGAGGUAUUUGAGCAAUCUUCAUUUUAAAUUAAGGAUUUUUUUCUUUCUGUAAUUACCAAUUACCAUAACAAAGAAACUGAAGGGGCUGAUCUGAUUUGUAUUGAGAACAGUUUUGUUUCUACCUCUUUUCUCCUGUCUUGGGAAUGAAACGUGCAUGGUAUCAGGCAAGAAACUUUCUAAGAGUUUGUUGAAUUAUAACUAAGCAUUUGCAAGUUUAGCCAUAUAUCUAAGUAUACACAUAAAUAUAUAUGUAAAAAAAGCAUAGAAAAGUGUGAAGUUGACAAAGGAUAUUUGUCUUAGCUUAUGACUAGUGUUCCCAUUAGAAAAAUGACUUGCUGCAUCUUUUCCCUUCCUGUAUUUUGCAGUUGUGACCUCUCUCAGCCUUUAUUGUCUGCCCUUGCAAACCUGCCUCUCCGAAGCUGGAGUUCCCCAAACAAUCCUAGUUGUUAUAGGCAUUGCUCAGGGCAGAUAGGGACAGUUUCGCUCUGCAACACUCUUCAGGUCUUAUCCCAAAUUAUUACAAUGGAAGCAACAUCAAAGUCUUAAAAAUAUAGAUGAUAUAACCUGCCUCUUCCUUUUCUUUAGAAACUUCUGAUCAAAGCAGUCCCAUUUCCCACCGUGACUGUUGCUACGACCUUCCUGAAAAAGCACAUAUGCUGUGGAGCUGCAGCCUGUUGGCACGCUGCCUCUGUCCGCGCUUUUCUGGAAGUAUCGAAUCCAUUGUGGGGUGUGCAGUGGCCAGGCAAGUCAUUCGCAGAAAAAAACGACACUGCCGGGCAGCACCCACUUCUCAUGCAGCACCACUGACCUGGGCUUUUUGGGGGGGGUCAGGAUCUCUGGAGGUCCUGCUGCCUCUGGCCAGGUCAAGCAGAGUCCAGAAAUAUUGAACCCUUAAGCUGUAACAGCCCUCUAAAUCUAGACAGGUUUUUCAGGAAGAAGAAAGAAAAGGAUACGUCCACAGAAAACUAGGCAAACAAGAUGCACUUUCUUUCUCUGAGCUUCUCUUUUCUCCUCGUCAGGUCUCAAACAUUUGAGAUGCAACAUGGAUUUCUUUCCUUUUCCAUCACUGAUUUUUACCAUUCAUCUUACCUCUUAAGUUUUUUAGGCCUAAGAAUUAGUUUCCUGUUUCCUAUGUAACAUUCAAUGCAGUUGCAAAGUGUUCAAUUAGGUUUUUGCCCUUAUUUUCUCCCACGCCUCACCAGCUCGCUGUGUUUGUUCCUGGCCUUUUCGGCUUCAGACUGACACCCCUCUCUUUCCCGUCAUUCCUUAUAUUGGCAAAGCCCUAUCAAUUAACUCCCACCAUGCAAUGUACCUUUUGCCUACAAUUCUUGUAAAGCCAGUUGCUUUAAGAUGUAUUCUGGUGACAGAAAUGGUUAGAGAAACUGUGCCUCUUCGUGCUCCUCAGCAUUGUACCUCCUGGGCCUCCUUCAAUCAAAAUGUCUUGCAGGAAGAACUUCUGUUCACCAUUCACAUAGAGAUGUGAUUUUGUCACUAAAACUCCGAGCUACAUCCCCUUAAAGAAGUGCAAACAAUUGUUAUAUGGGCAGCAAGAGCACCGUGAACACUUUCCCUAAAGAAGUACAACAGAGAGUACAAGAUGGGUAAGUAGUUCUGCAUCUGCAUUAUGGGGAAGGUGUCCCUCAAGGGAUGAGCAAUAAACACCUAUGGCUUUGUAAUAAACUCUGGCUG